This is a non-coding RNA of Oncorhynchus mykiss (rainbow trout), 3536 nucleotides long. Lineage: Eukaryota; Metazoa; Chordata; Actinopteri; Salmoniformes; Salmonidae. The record is from RefSeq and is a predicted model, not a curated record.
GCGGAUCGAUGAAAGCCCAAACUGAUCGAUCGUUGUCAUACUUUCAAUGUACUUUUUUAAACAAACUAGCCCUUUCAUUAAUUAAUGAUUUGACGUAUAGGCCAACCAAAUGGCACGCAACACAUCCACCUUUUUUAUUUAUUUGUAAAUGAUACCAUACCCUGUCAUUUUAGGGUAAAAUUCGAUGUACUUUACAUCACGCUCAUCAGUUCAGUAUUUGUACAGAAGGUUGCUACAGUAACGUUUGCAAGACAACACGCGGUCACUGUGAGUGGUAGUAACGUCACCGUCAUUGGUUCUAUCAUAAAAAUCCGCAUGUUUAUUAAUUUCACUGGGUAUGACACAAAGAUAGCUAAUUUAGCAGGUGUGGUGAUACUGAUGAUUUUGGGCACAGAUGGUUUGUUUACAUAGCAGUCAGGAUAAUUAACGUCGCAUGUUAGGAUAAUUAACGUGGCAGGUUACGAGAACUAACGCAGCAGGAUAUGUGAAUUAAUGUAGCAGGUUAUGAAAAGAGUUAGGAUUAGUUAAUGCUUCGGUUGUCAACAGCUGUUUUCCCCGACGCGACCACUGGAUAGAGAUGUAGGCCUACCCCAUCUAACCACAACAGAGGAAACGUAAACAAACCAUAUGUGGCGACAAAUUACAGAGGAAAAGGCUAAACGAGAGGGUUUACUCAGCCCAAAAAAUCUAAGCGAAAAUAAAACCAUGAGAGUGUCGAAUUUGUUCAACGAAAAUGUAAUGUCUUAUUUUCUACCUGAGGUUUAUUUGAUCGAAUAGAAGUUUCGUUAUGCUUAAAUUGUUACGCGUAUGCUGAUAUAAAUUGGACACGUGACAUCCCAGCAACUUUGAGAAAAAAACACUUUAUAUUGGAGUUGUCUCGAGAUGGUUUAACGUCGUAUUAAUGUAAUGUGGCUGUAGCAUAUAAUCUCUCGUCAUUGAAUAUGGGCGGUUGAAGUUAACCACCCUCAUCGAAUAUUAAAAACAAAUAACAAUAAAUAGAUGUAUCCACCAAUCCAAAAAAUAGGCGGGAACUAGACAGCCAGCCGUGCCACUUUGUGAACAACGACUCCCAUUGUUAGGGCGGAGAGACAUGUAGUCUUGUCAGUUUUCCAUAAUCUUUGGUUUGAUGAAAACAUCUGGUGGGAAAAUGCAUAUUGUUUUAGGCAGAUAAGGUUAUGCGCAUGAAAAUCUGACCCAAAUUGGUUGGAAACCUAGCUAUAGACGUGAAACUAGUUAGGGAAUUAAGAAAAUGUAAUGGUAGCUAAGUUAUUCAUAUGAAGAUAAUGAAAGGGUGAUUUCUGUUCGGCUAGUUGAAUAAGUCAGUAAUCUGAUUGACAGCCAGUAUAGUACGAGCUAGUGAGUAACGUUACUGUUCUCGGGUUGUUAGCUAGGCAACUGUUGUGGCAAUGAUUUCUAGAGGUAGAGGAACCCAAAAACCAAACAUAUCUGGUACAAAAGGAACUCCACGCAUGGCUAUAUCCAGUUAUAAACAAUCGGAUACACCUGGAACCAAGGUGGAAGACAAGGCGCCGAGAAUAAGGCAACUUGCAUGGAGUUCUUCAAACUAUGGAUACAGGACUUUUGGAUUGGUUCAUCCUUACAAUGCCAGGUCUCACAUCACAGAGUGGGGCUGGAAGGAUGAGUGGUGGACAGCUAGGAGGGAGUUGAGGCUCACAGUGAGGGCAGAGUGCCAUUACAGCUGAGAGGCGGUGUCUGCGUUUGGCUUGGGACAGCUGGGAAGUGUACAUGAGGAUGAAACACAGGAUGCAAGAAUCUGCUCUUCAGUUCCAGAAACUCACAGCUCUAUGUUGGGUGUGGACUAUGUGGCAGACUAGGAUGUGGAGGAGGUAUGAUGCAUGUGAUAUGGAGGACCAAGCACUGGGCUCUGACUCUACAGAGUAAGGUGAGUUGAUUACAUCAAUAUUUAUGUGGCUCUUUUUCAAUGAAUCUUUCCUUGAUUCCUCACAUCCUCAUCACCCCUCAAAAAACACAAUGGAGAGGAAGGUCCAUUCACUACCUUGUUGUCUGUGAAUGACAAUUUGCAAUGAAUGUCCAUUCGCAUAAUUGUAUGAUUUAUGCAUGUUGUUAUUCUGUCAUAGGCACUACGUUCAUGCCUGUAUAAGCUUUGUUCACCUCCGCCAAGCUAAGAGGAAACCACAAGGUGCCAUCUUCUGUUAAUCAUGUGUACUACUGUACCUCUUAUCACAAUCACUGGAUGGCAUUCAUGGUCCAGGAUAAUAUACUCUCAGUUUAGGAUAUCAGAAACUUAUAUUGACAAUUGUAGCCAAACUUGGGUUGUCUCCAACACAUACUACAGACCUGCCUGUUGUCCGCUAGAACUUGCGUUCACAUUACCAUUGCUUUCUGUUGUUGUUAACCCUCAUGUAUUGGUCUACCUCCUGGGUUCCAGCUGUUGCUGUGCGAGCCUGGCAACUCCGCUUGGUCCUGAGGUAUUGGUAUGUGUGGAGAAGUGGACUACAGAGAGAGGUGGACAGAGAGCAGGGUGUUGACCAUGUGGCACAAUGCAGCAUACAGCAUAGCGCUGGAGACACUAUCCUACCCCACACACACUGACAGAUGUGAAGUCACACACUAUUGCAAGAACAACAUUAGCAAUACUCACCUUAUGGUUAACUUCAUGUGCCGUCAUCUACCUCAACAUCAUACUUCGUAACAUAUUGCAAGAAGAUUAAGUGAAUUUCCUGAGUUUAUGUGCAGAUUUGGACUUGUGCAUGCAGGAGUCAGAGAGAUCAGUCAGCAGCAAGUCAACACCGCCAUCUAUUGCACGCUGGUCUGAGAAGUCUGGCCCUUAAUAUCGCUCAGAUACUCAUCGACUCAACAAGAACAUCGCUGUCCAGCAUCAUCAUCACACUGCAGGUAUUGGAUACUCUGGCAGCAACGUCUGGAGGAGGCUGAAGAUUGGGUACUUCAGAUGCAGAUGACACACACCCACUACAGCGUCAAUACACCUGGGCCUUUUACACCUGGUGGGGACAUUCAGAGGAGAGAAAGGAUCAGAGGCUGGCUGAGAGGAUGGUAAAACAGCUGUCCUGACACACACACACACACCAUCACGGUACAGCCAUACACCCAGACAGAGCCCAGCUGUCCUGCCCUUUGGGCCUUGCUGCAUGAAGAGAGGUUGUGUUUAAGUAGAGCCUGGCACCACUGGCAGUGGAGGGCGGGGAAGGAGAAACGGAGAGCCUCUGACAUACUGGACCACCAUACUGUAGUCCACAACACACUGAGCCAGUGGAAGGACAACGUCACCAUGAUCCGGGACAGGCGAAACCAAGAGGCGCAGGCAGGUCGACAUGGGGAUGUGUCUUGUGUGCGACGCGCCCUGAGUGGCUGGAGUGAGGAGGGUUCUGCGUGUGUGGAAGGAGACUGCAGCAGCCAGGAGCAGUGAGAAGAGGGCAGAGAACCACUACCGGCACUGUUCAGGCUAAGGUGCUGUUGGCAUGGAGGAAAGCCACAUCCUGUGUCAAACUGUCACCAGCAGUGAGCAGGGCUCCGAGUCGCAUGGAUAAUGGGAA